CUCGUAGGCGGCCAACUAAGUCGGACGUGAAAUCCCUCGGCUUAACCGGGGAACUGCGUCCGAUACUGGAUGGCUAGAGUUCGGGAGAGGGAUGCGGAAUUCCAGGUGUAGCGGUGAAAUGCGUAGAUAUCUGGAGGAACACCGGUGGCGAAGGCGGCAUCCUGGACCGACACUGACGCUGAGGAGCGAAAGCCAGGGGAGCAAAACG
Molecule: ribosomal RNA, 208 nt
Filed under: uncultured bacterium
Lineage: Bacteria
Description: partial 16S ribosomal RNA
Rfam family: Bacterial small subunit ribosomal RNA
Source: RNAcentral